RNAcentral lists this ribosomal RNA (1360 nucleotides) under Planktothrix agardhii NIES-596. RNAcentral's name for it is "16S ribosomal RNA". It matches the Rfam family "Bacterial small subunit ribosomal RNA". The record is from RNAcentral. Lineage: Bacteria; Bacillati; Cyanobacteriota; Cyanophyceae; Oscillatoriales; Microcoleaceae.
UUUAGUGGCGGACGGGUGAGUAACACGUAAGAACCUGCCUCUAGGACGGGGACAACAGUUGGAAACGACUGCUAAACCCGGAUGAGCCGAAAGGUAAAAGAUUAAUCGCCUAGAGAGGGGCUUGCGUCUGAUUAGCUAGUUGGUGAGGUAAGAGCCCACCAAGGCGACGAUCAGUAGCUGGUCUGAGAGGAUGAUCAGCCACACUGGGACUGAGACACGGCCCAGACUCCUACGGGAGGCAGCAGUGGGGAAUUUUCCGCAAUGGGCGAAAGCCUGACGGAGCAAGACCGCGUGGGGGAGGAAGGUUCUUGGAUUGUCAACCCCUUUUCUCAGGGAAGAACACAAUGACGGUACCUGAGGAAAAAGCAUCGGCUAACUCCGUGCCAGCAGCCGCGGUAAUACGGGGGAUGCAAGCGUUAUCCGGAAUGAUUGGGCGUAAAGAGUCCGUAGGUAGUCAUCCAAGUCUGCUGUUAAAGAGCGAGGCUUAACUUCGUAAAGGCAGUGGAAACUGGAAGACUAGAGUGUAGUAGGGGCAGAGGGAAUUCCUGGUGUAGCGGUGAAAUGCGUAGAGAUCAGGAAGAACACCGGUGGCGAAGGCGCUCUGCUGGGCUAUAACUGACACUGAGGGACGAAAGCUAGGGGAGCGAAUGGGAUUAGAUACCCCAGUAGUCCUAGCGGUAAACGAUGGAAACUAGGUGUGGCCUGUAUCGACCCGGGCCGUGCCGAAGCAAACGCGUUAAGUUUCCCGCCUGGGGAGUACGCACGCAAGUGUGAAACUCAAAGGAAUUGACGGGGGCCCGCACAAGCGGUGGAGUAUGUGGUUUAAUUCGAUGCAACGCGAAGAACCUUACCAGGACUUGACAUCUCUGGAAUCUCCUUGAAAGGGGAGAGUGCCGUAAGGAACCAGAAGACAGGUGCUGCAUGGCUGUCGUCAGCUCGUGUCGUGAGAUGUUGGGUUAAGUCCCGCAACGAGCGCAACCCUCGUCGUUAGUUGCCAUCAUUAAGUUGGGAACUCUAGCGAGACUGCCGGUGACAAACCGGAGGAAGGUGAGGAUGACGUCAAGUCAGCAUGGCCCUUACGUCCUGGGCGACACACGUACUACAAUGCGAGGGACACAGAGCAGCCAACCCGCGAGGGAGAGCGAAUCUCACAAACCCUGGCACAGUUCAGAUUGCAGGCUGCAACUCGCCUGCAUGAAGGAGGAAUCGCUAGUAAUCGCAGGUCAGCAUACUGCGGUGAAUCCGUUCCCGGGCCUUGUACACACCGCCCGUCACACCAUGGAAGUGAGCCACGCCCGAAGUCAUUACUCUAACCCUUUCGGGGGAGGAGGGUGCCGAAGGCGGGGUUGAUGACUGGGGU